Molecule: unclassified non-coding RNA, 334 nt
Filed under: soil metagenome
Description: partial contains 5.8S ribosomal RNA, internal transcribed spacer 2, and large subunit ribosomal RNA
Rfam family: 5.8S ribosomal RNA (bases 1-120)
Source: RNAcentral
GAUGAAGAACGCAGCGAAAUGCGAUAAGUAGUGUGAAUUGCAGAAUUCAGUGAAUCAUCGAAUCUUUGAACGCACAUUGCGCCCCUUGGUAUUCCAUGGGGCAUGUCUGUUCGAGCGUCAUUUGUACCUUCAAGCUCUGCUUGGUGUUGGGUGAUUGUCUAUCUUUAUAGACUCGCCUUAAAGUCAUUGGCAGCCGGCAUAUUGGCCUGGGAGCGCAGCACAAGUCGCGCUUCUUGUCAUGAAUGUUGGCGUCCAGUAAGUCUACAUAUUUUGCUCUUGACCUCGGAUCAGGUAGGGAUACCCGCUGAACUUAAGCAUAUCAAUAAGCGGAGGA